GCCCGAAUAGCUCAGUUGGAAGAGCAUAGGACUGAAAAUCCUUGUGUCGGUGGUUCGAUUCCACCUUCGGGCA
Molecule: transfer RNA, 73 nt
Rfam family: tRNA
About the family: Transfer RNA (tRNA) molecules are approximately 80 nucleotides in length. Their secondary structure includes four short double-helical elements and three loops (D, anti-codon, and T loops).
Source: Rfam